Molecule: ribosomal RNA, 429 nt
Filed under: Bacteroidota bacterium
Lineage: Bacteria; Pseudomonadati; Bacteroidota
Description: Bacteroidetes bacterium partial 16S ribosomal RNA
Rfam family: Bacterial small subunit ribosomal RNA
Source: RNAcentral
UAGGGAAUCUUCGGCAAUGGGGGGAACCCUGACCGAGCAACGCCGCGUGAGUGAAGAAGGUUUUCGGAUCGUAAAGCUCUGUUGUUAAGGAAGAACGAGUGUGAGAAUGGAAAGUUCAUACUGUGACGGUACUUAACCAGAAAGGGACGGCUAACUACGUGCCAGCAGCCGCGGUAAUACGUAGGUCCCGAGCGUUGUCCGGAUUUAUUGGGCGUAAAGCGAGCGCAGGCGGUUAGAUAAGUCUGAAGUUAAAGGCAGUGGCUCAACCAUUGUAGGCUUUGGAAACUGUUUAACUUGAGUGCAGAAGGGGAGAGUGGAAUUCAAUGUGUAACGGUGAAAUGCGUAGAUAUAUGGAGGAACACCGGUGGCGAAAGCGGCUCUCUGGUCUGUAACUGACGCUGAGGCUCGAAAGCGUGGGGAGCGAACAGG